This is a long non-coding RNA of Spinacia oleracea (spinach), 3383 nucleotides long. RefSeq lists it as uncharacterized. The transcript has 2 exons. The record is from RefSeq and is a predicted model, not a curated record. Lineage: Eukaryota; Viridiplantae; Streptophyta; Magnoliopsida; Caryophyllales; Amaranthaceae.
CCUAUGGGAAACAACCGCUCAGCGGCAAAGUUUCUCGUUUCUUCCCUUCUUAUCUUCUACUCAUAAAGUCAUAAUAACCUUUGCUUCUCACUUUCAAGUCUCAAGACUCUUGAUCACACAACCACAAGUCCACAAUCAGAGCGGCGAAACUCAGUCACCCGAAACCCUUCACAAGGCGGCGCUUCCCUUGUCACAGAAAGAGUGCGAAAUCGAGUUUGAAGGUGUGUGCCUCUAUUCUGCUGUUCUGCUAGCUACUGGUGUCUUUGCAGGCUGAUCUGCUGUUCAGCUGCUUGUUUCUGCUAGGUUCAAGCUAGGUGCAGCUUCUCUGCACAGGCUGGGUGUUGCUGCUUAUGUUGUUGCGCUUCUUUGCACAGGCUGGGUGUUUCUUUGUUGCUUAUGCCUCUGUUCUUUCGUAUUUAACUUUUUCCCUUCUCUCUCUCUCUCUCUCUCUCUCUCUCUAUAUAUAUAUAUAUAUAUAUAUCACUACUACAAAUAUGUCCUUUAAUAGCGUUCUUUUAAUUUGUUUAGGCCAAAACAUUGUUCCCAUGCCUGAUCUCUCUGAAAUUCUGAUUAUCAGUAUUGAUCUAGUUAAACAAGGGCAGUGGAAGAACCAUUCAGGAAUGUGUACUCCAUGUUGUGUUUGUCUCAGCAAACUCACAUCAGGUAAACCACCAGUUAAAUAAGCCUGGAAGAGGUAUGUAUGUGAGUUAUAUGUAGUGGUUUCUAUUACUUACAUCAUAGCCAAAAAAAAUACUCCCUCCGUCUCUUUUUGUUUUUUACGUAUUCCAUUUUGGGUGUUUCAUUUUGUUCUUUACAUUUCCUUUUAUAUUAUCAUAUAAUGCAUUAAUAUUCUAUCAAAAUUUGUGCCCUAAUAUUAUUUUAACCAAUUAAAUUCAUUGGACAUUAAAUAUUUCUCAUUUUCCCAAUGUCAAAUUUUUGAUAAAAGUGAAAACAUUAUAAAUAAACGUAAUUUUUCUUGUUUAAAUAAAAAAGUAGAGGAAUCUCAAUGCACAUUAAAUAGUCGUUAAAUCGCGUGAAAAAUGUCAAACGUAAAAAACAAAAAGAGACGGAGGGAGUAGUUAGUAAUGCAUCUUCCUUUGAUUUUCUAAAUAUAAGGCUAGGACAAUUUAAGAGCUGAAAAUGCGAGUCUCUAUCUUAAUGAUUAUUAUGGCUCUGUUAUUUUUGUGUUGACAACAUGAAGGAAAUACAUAUAGCUUUAAAUAUCUUAAAAAUAGCCACUUAGCAAUCUCUUCAAAUCUUCAAUAUCUUGUGGAUCCUCAUAUCAACUUUCUGAAAAGUAACAAUCUUCAAAAUUUUAUCAGGUAGAAAAGCGAACACAGGAAAAAAAGGUAAAGAAUUUCUUUGAUUCGUGAAACUUCGGCAAAAUUGAAUUCAUAUGAUUAAAUAGGGAUUAGGCAUUUUAUUUAAAAAUUAUUGACUUGAUAUGAUUAAAUUGGGCGAUUUUUCAUAAAAAAUUAUUGAUUCAUAUACAUGAUUGAAUUGGGCGUUUUUUCAUCUAAGAGUUAUUGAAUUGAUAUGAUUAUUCUGUAGCGUUUUAAAUUGGGAGUUAUUUUUCAAUCAAAACACUAUUGAAUUGGGCGUUUUAUUCAUUCACAUUUGUAAGCUAACCAGGAAGUUAAGGGCUUAAUGAAAGCUUUAUUUUAUACGAAGUAAAGUUUUUUAUUGCUCGUUUCUUUUCCUGCUGUUGUGAGUUUUAUCUGACAAUCCAAGAGAAUCAAAUAAGAACUUUUUCUUUAGAAUAGAGAGGCUAGGAAAAGAUAAAUCCAGAAGUUCAAAUAUUCUAGUAUUCACACAUGUAGCUGACAGUAGUUUCUGAAAUCCAAGAAUGUUAUAAUAAAGUGGUCAGGCGAGCAAUGGAUUAGCUUAGAAAAGGAAAAUGAUGGUUAGCUGUGGCGUUUUGCCAUAGAUUGCAGUGACAAGAGUUUAUGUUAGUUAGUUGACUUACCAAAAUUCUUUUCCCUGCUUGACUUGAAGUGUCUCUACAAAAGAGUUUGAGGGUAGUGAGUUGACUAAGUCACUGACAAGAGACAAAGAAUCCAGGUUGUUACUCCAUUGUCAUCAGCAUUUAUAGGAACUUUUAUUGAGAUUGCUUGCUCUUGACUUUAGGCCUUUACCAAUUAGCCUAUGGCAGUUAAUGGCAGAGUCUUAAGGGUCGUAAACUCACAUGAACUGUUGUUGACUAUCACACAUCUAUCUCUGCAACGGCCAAAAUCAAUAGCCUUGAUCCUAUGUUACUCGGACUCAGUAGAUUGUUUCCAACACAAGGUACGUGUCCAAGCUCCAUAAACCUCUUCAUCUAAGCAUGUGGUAUGCAGCCAGCCCCUGUAAUAUAUCUCUCUGGGAACCGGGAACAAUGUGCGGUUACAGAAGUGGAUUGAGCUACUUUUGGGAUCUGUAUCAGUUCUGGUCUAUUUGAAGUGUUUAAAGGGCAUAUGGAAAUAUUGGGUUGGGAUGAAUUUUCCAAGUGGCAUGGUUCACAUCUCCAUGAACAAGAAAAUAAGAAUUGUUCUUGGACUUCCGCUUGUGAAUUCAUACAUAAAUAUUUUAUGCUUUCGAUACAUAAAGGUGUAGAACAUAAUACUUGUGUAACUUUUUAGUGUAAGGUCAUAUACUUCUUCCAAAGCACUCGUUCUUAUAUUUUCAACUUGUACCACACACUAGCUCAAGAAAUAUAAGCAGGGCCUACAGGAAAAGUUGUCAUAUACAAGUGUUACUUGAUUGCUUUGCAGACUGAAACCUGAACUUAAUAGUUAAAAGAGAUUUGGAGUUAGAUUUUUUGUUGCUUUUUUUCUUCUUCUUUUCCUCUUUUCCUGCUUUUGUGGUUUUCUCAUUCUUUUGGGCAUGGCAGUUCCAUACUUCCAUCUGAAUGCAUGUUUCUAUAUUUUGAUAAGGUCAUUAUUUUUUUCUUCAUGUAUGGCACUUUAUGUUUAUGGUAAUACUAAUCCACAAAUACUAACUUCCAAAAUGUGAAAUUCAUUUUUUUUCUUCAUGUAUUGCACUUAAUGUUAAUAUUUAUGGUAAUAUUAAUUCUUUCGGGUUUUUUUCCUUCUAUAUAUGUAUGAAUUCUUAUACAUCAUUGUUUCGCAGUACUUUUCAGAUUGUCAGUUUUCAAGUUAUGACAAAGAGCAGAUUGACGAAGUAAGAACCGAUUGGGUGCGCUAUGUUGUUCAACAAUUGUAUAAUCGUUAGGUUAUGUUGAAGGAAAUAACAAACAUAAGACUCUAUUGAAGUAUUGAUUAAUGUAUUCUACGACGUAGUUUAAUUUUUAGUUUUAGUUUUAGUUUAGAUCUAUGUAAUCGGUUUUAUUAGGGUGACAAUGUAAUUUUUUUUUUAAUUGAGGUAUGGAUAUUAAUUUUUAACUA